ACCUGUUCCAAUCCGCGGUUCCUCUACCUACCUGUUUGCCCACCCCUAAUGUCACGUGCUUCGCUCUUUCUACAAAGUCCGCAGAGUUAAGAAGAAAAAAGAAGUGUUGGAUCAAAAUCAUCCGAUUAGAUUUGCUGAGUGCAAGUAAUCAACCGCAUCAAUGGCAUAUAGAGGGCGUGGAUGCGGUGGAUUUUCAGGUGGGGGCGGUUUUGGCUUUGCCAAGCAAGAGUCUUUUGUGCUUUUUCCUGACAUUGAUUUGUGUAUUCCCAAAGGUAUAUCUGAUCUAGAGAAAAAACACACUCGUACCGAGGAAGAAAACUUAAUCAAUCAAACUCGCAAGUUUCAAAAUAUUUGGAAAGGCUUUCCUUAUUAUCUUGAGCAGAGCCCUUCGAAUGAGAAGCAAAACAUGGAUGUGGAAAGAUAUUCUGACAGGACAAAGCCAAAAACCACGAUAAGACGCGGUUCUCUUUUUAGUAUAUUGGAGCUCAAGGGAUUUCCUCAAGAACUGACUGGAGGUUCAAGGGUACAGCAGCCUGGCCGAAAGAGAGUUAGAUGGAAUCCUGACUCAGAGCUGGUGAAGUUGGAUUUAUUUGAAAAGCUUGAGCAGUGUCAGGGCCAAAAUGAUGCAAAAGAAAAGAAAGAAUGUGAAGGUGAGGAUGUAAAUGAAAAUGAGGAGGAGGCAGAACCAGAGGACGAGGACUUUAGUGAUGAUGAUUACUAUAAGAACUCUGAUUUUGAUGAUGAUGAAGAUGAUUAUAAUAUGGAAGAUGACGGUGACGGCGAACCUCUUUUAUAGCGAGAAGGUGUAGCGUACGACGCGUACAUCUCAUGUCUCUUCCAUAAAACGGGCAAUGAGAGGAUAGGAAAUGUGCGACAGAAGCUCGUUGCGAUCCUCCAACGCCAAUAAUCAUUGGAGUAGAUGGGGGCUGCAGCACAUCACUACCAGAGGAAAUGCCAUAUUUUAUAUAUGGUUUGAAUAGCUGAACAGAAAAGCUUCGUUCUAUAUGUUAUCAAUCUCUAAUGGUAUCUAUUGUUAAAUGAUGUUUUGGGAUCAUGAGGGGAAGAUUAAUUCGAAGAUGUAUGCAGGUGCUACUUAUAUCGAAAUGCAUUGGUUUCGACAUUACCCUCCUCUUCA
RNA transcript from Malus domestica (apple), 1135 nucleotides. RefSeq lists it as uncharacterized. The record is from RefSeq and is a predicted model, not a curated record. NCBI's taxonomy places the organism in Eukaryota, Viridiplantae, Streptophyta, Magnoliopsida, Rosales, Rosaceae.